AAAUAAUUCCACUUAAUCAAAAUGGGCUGUGUACAUAUAGGCCAACCUCAGGACAUAAUAUGGACAUCAGACUUCAGAAACUGUUGUGGGAACUUGAUUGAUGCAGUUAUGGGGCCCUUGUGACUACAGCGCCAUCUGUUGGGAGUUCGCCGAUCAGAUUCUGCUCAUGAUUCCUAUCCUGGUUACCAGCAUACUUAGCGCAGCCAGUUUUAGCCAUUCAGACACCACCCCACUGUGCCAUUUAGCUUCUGAUGGUGAAGGAUUUCUGCAGUACCUGCUUCAGCUCCAUGAAGUUUUAGGUCUCUAGUCGUCUCUUGAGAAGACUGCAGUUUUUUAAAAAAAAUAUUAAAAAGCAAGAAAGUGGGCUUCUUACUCAGAAGAAGAAAAUCCACAGAUGAUAUUCAUUGAACUAAGUGUCACCUUUCCAUAAACAGACUUCGAUCCAUGCUUUCUACAUUGGCUCUUGAUUGUUUCUUAUGAAAUCAUCAUCAUCGUAAUGAACUAGGAAGGGUUGUCUUUUCUUCUCCAUCAUCAUUUUUAACCCUUGCAUAUACACCAUCCAGGAGUAAACUGUCUGCUUGUUGGAGUGAAUUUGAGGAAAUCAUUGGUGGUUCUGGCAUUGUGUUGGCAGCACAGCAUAAUCUUAUGUGUCAAGCUAAUGAACGUCGGAAUGAAUUGAUCAAACAGCUGUUUACAAUGAAGUAAAUGGCAAACUGUCAGGUGCUUGACCUUUGCAGGUGACCUGAGGUGAGAGGAACCAGUGCUGUUCUGUGGCUCAGUUGGAACACUUCAAAGAAUCUUUCCUCUUCAGUGCUUUUUAAAAAAUUGAAUCUUCCUAUGUCAGAAACUUUUUCCAAAGCCUUGGGAGAAGCCAAGCCAAAUUUAAGGAGAAGACACACAAACUUACGAGGAUUUUGUUAAACUGGAGUAACAACUAUAACAUCUAUUCUGAUGAAUUUGCUAUCACUUAUUUUAUUCAGACAUUCAGACUCCUAUCUGCUUUUAUCAGAGGAUGGGCUUUCUUUUAUCUGGAGUAGUCAAAGGCAUUUAAUAAUGGUAUUAAUCCAGCGUUGGAAAUGGACAUGUGUGUUAAUUCCUCUUUGUUAGCUCUGUAUUUGGAAUUCUGCAUUUCAUGGGUUGUCCAAUAUGAGAAAAAUUGUGUGGAAUUUAAUUUGUAUGACCAUAACUGUCACUUACAAGUCUUUGGAAAUGAGGACAAGGACAUCUGGUUGCACUUAAGUGACACCAUCCAGUAAGCAGAGCCUUCUUCAUUUAAAACUCUAGCAACAGUUUAAAUCAAGCAACAGCAAACUAGCUUGAAACAGUAGUGGAUGACUUUUUCUUGACUUUUGCAUUCCAGAGAGUUCUUCUAAAUUUUAAGGAAUGAAAGAACACAUGAGUAAGUAAAUGAGUUGUCCACUGCAAUUUUUUUUUCAAAAUGAAGAUACAGUAUUAAUGUUUAAAGGGAGCAUUUUGUUCCAUUUCCUAGUUUUUUGACUAAAGUUGUUUCCCAAAGGGAAAUUCUGUAAUUUUAUUUAAGAAUAAGAUUCAUCUGAUAAUAGUAAAGUGGAACAACUCAGUCCUCAGGAUAAGCAAGUAUUGUUCAGAUCAUACAAUUUUAUAAUAGAAGAAUAAAAAUCAAGGUGCCUUACUGUCUAUCCAGUGUAUACUACAAACCCAUUUUUUGAGACAUUAGCUUUAACUUGAGGGCUGUUACUUUCUAUUUUUGUUGGGGUUAUUGUUUGUUUUUUAAAUUUGAUUUUGCUAUUAAAAUAGGGCCUUGCUAUGUAGUUCAUGUUGGUCUCAAACUCACUAUAUAACUCAGGCUGAAAAAAUCGAGGUGAUCCUCCUGUCUCAGUUUCUCAAGUGCUGGGACUACAGGCACAAGCCAUCACCACCAGCUCCCCCUUAGGGCCUAUUAUCCUAUCCUUAGUUCCUACUAUGAAGUGCCUCAGUAAUGAAUGAAGUCUAAUUAAAUGACCACCGAAGCAAACCUACUCAGUGUGGCUUGCACAGAUACCUUACAGUUUACAGAUAGAAAUUAUCAGACUUCAAAGUUGUCAUAUAGACUUUAUACUAAGAAUGGCCCAUAUUUGACUUGAGGAGAAUCAGAGUAUACCAGUAAAUUUUGAAACUUAAAAAUAUUUUGGGAAACUAAUAUGUCUGGUCAGUGGGCCUCUCCGUUGUCUUUUUAUUUAAAAAAUAAAUGAUCUAGCCAGACAUAAAAGUACAUGCCUGUAAUCCCAGAAUUUGGGAGGCUGAGGCAAGAGGACUGUUGUAAGUUUGAGACCAGCUAGGACUACAAAGUGAGCUCAAGGCCAGCCUGAACUGCAUAGUGAGACCCUGUCUCAAAAACAAACAAACAAACAAGCAAACAAAUAGUCUAAUAACCAAGGCACUAAACGACUCACCAGUAAGUCCAUUCAACCACUCAAAAGGUUUUUGGGGCUUAAAAUUACUUUUUCAAAAACCCUGGCAUAUAGAUAACCUUUUAAAUGACUUAGUUUUAGGAAAUUCUGAAAAGUCUUUUAAUAUGUAUCUAUAAACCAAAGAAACACAUUACCUAGAGGUAACCUGUGCUUUUUAAAAUUUUUUCCUGACUUCUCUGAGCUGCGUGAUAUUGAGGGAAAGAAAUGCUGGAAAGCAUCUCACCCCUCCAGGACCAGUGUGGUGUACUGAUUAGUUUACUGUCACUGGGACAAAAUAUCCAAUUCCCACAACUUAACAGGAGAAGUUUAUGUUGGCUCAUGGUUUUAGUGGGCUCAGCUUAUAGUUUAGCUAUGGCUUCAAGGUAGAAUCAGCAUGGUAGAAGGGUAGGGUGGAAGAAACCUGUUUGAUACAUGGUACCCAGACGAGGAAAGGGAAGGUGAGGGAAGAAGUGGGGACAAGAAUACACCCUUACAGGUCACAUCCCCAGUAAGCCAACUUUUCAGAACAAGCCCCACCCCCUGACAGCAUAGGCAGCUCUGAACUUACCAAUGAAUUAAUUCACUGAUAAAUACAGAAUCCCAUGAUCUACUCACCUUCUAAGUGUUCCACCUGUGAACAUAUAAGACUUUUGGGGAACAUUUUAGAUCUAAAUUCUAGUAGAUGAAAUCAGCAGCAGCAAAAACAAAAACAAAACAAAUUUAUUUUUUUUUGCAUAAGAAACAAAGGCACUUCCAAAUAAAUAAGGAUACUUCUCACAGUGUUCUUAAUUUUAUAACUAGUAGCAUAGUGAGAUUCUAAGAUCUAGUCUAACCAAGAUACACUCACACUGGUGACCCCGUGCAACCUUCUCGAGUGGCCAUUUGACAGUUUUUGUCUUUUCUGUCUGUGAUUCUAGUUGUAUUCAGAUAUAUCAAAAAUACAAACAAACAAAAAGGAGGCAUAAAAUAGUUUCCACUGUUUUGAGUAACAUGAAAAGGAAGCAGAUUGAUUUUAAUCAUGGAUCCUAAAAAGGUUUAGACAUUUUGGUUGAUCAGAACAAAAAAUAAAAGGUAUAACUUUAGUGAUGGCUAUAAAUAUCUUUACAUUCUUCAAAAGAACUGUUGAUCAAAUUUGUAGCUCAUUAAUUAAUAUCUAGAUGGCCACAAUGUCUGUGCUUGAGUUGCAAAAACGUGUAUAAUCAUACCAAGAAUUUGCAAUUAUGAACAUUUUAUAAAUAACAGUUCUCAACACCUACUCAAUUUACAGAUUCACUUACUGAUAUUACCAUACUUCUGUCAAGUUUUUCCUAGGAAGAAGAGCUGAUUAAAAUAUGAACCUCACAAUUGUGUUCCUGCGAAACAUUGAUUUUGAAUACACUUUUCCUUAAACUGGCCUGACUAUAACGUCUGUAUUGUACUUUUCAUUUCCUAUAAAGAUAUGAAAAGAUGGAGCCACUUUGGUAAAAGGGUAGGUCCCUGCUGAUUUAAAACGACCCUUGGAAAUUUCUUUGGAAACUCUUUUGGAAAAUUCUGCUCUAGAUUCCAGAGCAGCAAUUUACAUUUGGGAUGCUUUACUCCCCAGGGAAUAUUUGGCCAUGUCUAUGGACAUUUUUUUGGGGGGGGGGAUUUCAUAACUGGACUCAACCGGCUUCUUGUAGGUAGAAGCCAUGAAUGCUGUUAAAUAUUCUAUAAUUCACAGGAGAGCUCUCCAUAACAGAAUUAUUGAGGUCAAAAUAUAUAUAGUGCCAAGAUCAAGAAAUCCUAAGUAGAAAACUACAAAAUAAGUCUAAGCUAUUUUCUGCAUGGGAGAACCUCUGAGGUGUGAAAAUAUCCAUAACCUAUUAGAUUUUUCUUGUGCAGGCCGAAUAUUUGCAAUCAGAUUUAAUAUGGCAAUUAGUUUGUAAUUACAUUUGUAAUGAAUUCAAUGGUUGUUCUCAAGGUUCAGUCACCAGAGUUCCUUCUUGGGACACCAUUUAAUCUACCAAAGUCUUAGUUUCAUAUUCAAACUUGCAAAAUUUCCUGUAUAUGCUCUGAGUUUAGCAUAAUCCCAGUACAUAGUAGUGUUCAGUAACCACUUAUAAAACAGCACAUAGAUCAGUGAUAUAAUAAAUAAAAGAAGAAUGGAUACUGUGAAACACUGAAUCUCCCUAGUAAGGUUCUUUUGUUUAUGCAGUUUCAAAAAUACCACAUUGUAAAUAAAUGAGCAUUGAUUUUAAUUAUGACAAACAUCAAGAAUGGCUUGUAAUACCUAAAAUUUCCAGGUGGGGGAGCUCAGUCACUAAUUCAAAGACUGCAAAGACCUUAAAGAUUUAACCAGAGAGUACUUAAAAACUUCUUGAGGGGAAAUGAAAUAUUUUGUCUUUUUGAUUUGUUUAUAUAAAUUAUACAUUGAGGAUGUACAACAAUGCCACUUUGGUUUUAUAGUUCUAGAAAAAGUAAAGUUCAGAAUGAGCAAUUUUUCUUAAUUGAACAGCUUCAGCAUAGGCAGUGUCUGUCUUAUGGUUGUACUACUGGGAAAUUUGCACUAUCCAACCAUUUAAUAAGAGCCCAAACAUUUAAAAGCAAUUUCUUCCCUUUGUUCCUUUGAGUACUAGAGCAUGCAAAAUUUAGAUUUCGGAGUGAAGCAGAGAGAAAUUGUGGGAUUCUAAGGGGAAAAAAAUGCAACCUUCAUUCUUCUUAAACUGCUUCACUAAAUUUGUCCCGUGUAAGAUGGUGUAAAUGCGCAAACGUGAUGCCUGUCCGUCUCUUUCCUACUGACUUGAGUUUCCAGGGCACUUGCCUAGUUUCUGUCUAGACAGGAGAUUUUUCAGUGUUGCCCACCAGAUAUUUCUGCCUGUCCUAUGUUGACCAGGGUUAUGAUUAGGCUAUUUAUUCUCCCAAAGCAGAAAUGUACAGGUGAAUUAACUCAGCUUCUGAGAAUUCUGAUUCUCCAGCCCUAGUCUCUUUUCUAAAGAAGGUUUAACAGAGCAGAAAGAACAUGGGUUUUUUUUUUUUUUUUAAUCUUACACUUGCUUCUAGAACCUAUUCCCCAACUUAGUAUUCAGUCGAUACUUAACUUUGUGAAUUCUAGAUUCUGAUUUUUUUAAAUAACAUCAUAAUAUGCCUGUAUACUUAUGAAGAAAAAAUAAUGCACACAACUUUAUAAUAAUAUAUAAUAAUAAUAAUAAUAAUAAUAAUAAUAAUAAUAAUAUAAUAUUGCACACAAUGCCAGAAUGGAUGGUGCAAGCUGUUUUAAAGCUGUAUCAAUUGAAUACUAGUAUUAAAUUAAACUAAAUUAAAACUGUUAAAAAUCAUCCUGAAUAAUUUACAGAGAAACACUCUAGAGGUUAACAAGAGGUGGAGAAGGUAAUGGAGUGAGCUCAUGUUGAACUGUUGUAAAGGCAGGUGGCCACUAAAGUUAAAGGAUGUCGUUUAUUGGAAGCCAAGAGAAAUUCGUCCCCCUAAAAUAGGAGAAUAGAGAUAAGGAUAUAUUAUUUUGCAAAAGUCUCACUUUACUUAGGCGGUGUCUUUAUUUGGCAAAUUAGGGCUAAGAAGGUACACAAAGACUGUAACAGAACUGUUAAUAUAGCUGAGAAUAAAGCAAGUUACAGAGAAACAAAGUAGAAAUUUCAAAAUCCACUUAGUAAGUGACAAGAGGAAUAGAUUCUAGAGUGUAUCAUGUUUCUUUCCCUAGAUAUUAGGUAAAUUGAUCACUAAGUAGACUGUUUCCUAAUUUGUAAAGUGAGAUAGUUGGUUUAUGCAAUGAUCUAAUCUGAUCAGUUCUGACAUAAAGUGUUUUAAUUUAUGAGAUCUUCUUAGGAUUUUCCCUUCUCUGUCAAUGCUAUUGUUUUAAUUAUUUAUUUAAGAAAAAAGAGGGAAAGUAAUAUUUCUGUUGUCUUCUUAUAAUACAAAAACAAACUGAAAGCCCAAAACUUGCUACAGUUGUACAUAUCCAAGCAUUGUAGAUUUCUAAACUUGGAAAUGGCUGUGUACAAAACACUGUGUUAUAUGGUUAGGUUUCACCCUAUUCUGAUUUAGAAAUAAUAUUUCCUUGGUUGGCAUUAAUAUCAACCAAGGAUAUAUCCUGAGUGACUCAGAAAAAGUGUGACUGGGAGAUCUUUUCCUUUGUUUCUCGUGGGAUCCUCUUCCUGGUUCUGCUCAUACCCCUUUAGUGCCCUUUCUCUGUCACCCUGGACAGAACCACCUUAAUUUUCUCUUUCAAAUAGGGUUAUUUAGCUUUUCAUCUAUGUUUCUUCUGAUCUAUUCCUUGUGAAUGAAUUUCAUGCUCUGCUACUUUAGGAUUGUCUUUUUGACACAAAAUCCUUUUCCAUUUUUUUUAAACCUCUUUAACAUUUCAGUUCUCACUUAAACGCUUUGGCUUUCAAGAGCAUUGUCUUUGAAACAGGCUUCAAGUGACUGUUUUGGAAGUCAAAUACAGAAGAGUGACACUUUCAUUCUCUGUGCUUUCCACCUCUAACAAUCUUAAUUCCCCACUCUAGCAAUCCUAAUUCUUCCCAAGGCAAUGGACGUCUCUACUGAAUAGCUUUACAAAAAAAUGAAAAGGUACUGCAGCAGAUUUUAAAGCAUUUUCUCAUAACUGUGCUACAAGGCUAUUCACACAGAUACACAAUUCACUGAUUCUGACAGGCACUAUUUUUACUUUCCUUUUUAUUGCAUAUAUAUAUACAUAUGUAUAUAUAUAUUCAAAUUGUACACCACUCUGAUUUGAUACACAUAUACAUAGUGGAGCGAUUACUACAUUUAAGCAAAUUACUUAUCCAUCAUCUUAUAUAAUUGCCUUGUCAGAAGCUGUGUCUGUAAGAGUACUUAAAAUCUACUUUCAGCAAAAUUUCAGUAGACAAUACUGUAAAUUAGAUCUCCAAACUUAGUCAACCUGUAUACUGUAACUGCAAGUUUUUGCCCUUUGAAUUAUUUCUCUUCUAUCUUAGUUACUUUUUACUUGUCGCUGAGACAAAAUACCUGAAGCCCAAGUUGGGAAAGGAAAAGUUUAUUUCUUACAGUUUUUGGAGGUUACAGUCCACACUCAGUUGGCUCCAAGGCAGGCAGGCAUGGCUGGGCCGCAGUUCAUGGUGGCUGCAAAUAGCAAGCAGGAACCAGCAAAGAGCAAGACACACCUUCUUCCUGCCAUUACAUCACAUCCUGGCUCCACUCCUAGGUGGGUGUAGCACUAACACCAUCAAUCCAAGCACUAGACAAUGCAAAUGCACAAAUGCACAAUGUAAACUCAUAAGGCCUGGGGGCGACAGACAUAAACCAUGACAUCUUCUUUUCUCAGUUUCUGGUAGUGACUGUUUCUAUGUAUUAACUUCUUUUUGUUCCAUAUAAAAAUGAGAUCCUGUUGUAUUUUUUUUUUUUUCUGCGUUGGCUUAUUUCACCCAGUUCAUCCAUACCGUCAUCCUUCCACCCAUUAAACCAUUAAAAAAAUUUUUUUUGUUAAUGAGUUUUCAAAUUCCUUGUAUAUCUUGGAUUCUAAACUGUUAUCAAAUAUAUGGCUUAAAAAUACAAUUGUUAAUUUUUAAGGCCAUACUGUGUGUCAAACAUAUAAAAUGUUCUCUGAUGAAUGAGAUACAGACUUGUGGUAAAGGAGCUAUCGUAAUACAAUUAAAGGAUCUUAGGGAAACUGCCCAAAUUGUUUUUCUCUCAGAAUAGAAAUUCUAUCCCAAGUAACAAUUUUGCUCUAAUAGCACAACUGUGGCAAUAGAAGAGUAUUAUUGAUGAGUGGAAUCUGAAAUGAGUAAUAGUCAUAAUUAAGUGAUUUGAAAUUUCCUUUAACUUAAACCCUCUGGUAAGUCUCAGAAACAUAAACAAUCAACUAACUGCAGACUUGUUUUAUAAAUUAAUUUUUCACACUUGUCUGUAAUUAAUGCAAUAAUAUUUAUAUAUUGAUUUGUUUUUAUUAUAAGUAUGUAUGAUAUGUAUUGUCUUAUUUGAUCAUAAUUUUCCAUAGAAAGAGUUGUGUUAUAGUAUUUCUUCCUAGUGUAAACUCAUGUGUUCAUUUCAAAAUAAUUUAGCCAUUGAAUUACUUCUUAUGGUGAGAGCAAAAUAUUUCACUAAAAAUUUACACUAGUCCUAGCAUAUUUGAAUUGUUGUUUAAAGAAACUUAUCUAAUUAAUUUCUACUUUUGUUUGAAAUCUCAUUAGAUCCAUGUGUUUUAUUUGUUUAACUGUUGGUACUGACAAAACAUUACAACCUUGAAUUUAGAUCUAGUCCCAGAAUAUAAUUGCUUAUCUUUCCUUAUAACUUGAUCAUUUAACAAAUUCAAAAUUUUCUUAAGUACCAAUAGAUGAACAGAUACAUAGUUUUGUGUAUAGGAAUAAGAAAUAUCUGAAGAUGUGACUAUUAAAAUAGUUGAAUAUUAAACAUUUUCUGUUGCAUCAUCAUGACUGAAAUUGCAAAUUAAAUCAGUUCUAUGAAUGCUGUGCUAUUUAAUGUCAGAUAUGAAAAUAAAAGUAUAAAUUCGCUAAGCGAUUCAUUUAUUUAUUAAAUAAAAAUUUGUUGAAUCCUAGUAGGGUACAAUAGACUGAAUGAGACUGUAAGGAUAUAGUGGGGAUUGAACAGCCUCUGGCUUCAUGUUACCAAUGUAAAUUAUGAAGGGACAAUCAAAAACCCCCAUCACUUUUAUCCUCAACAAGUGUUUUCUGACUGUAUACCAUAUUUUAGUUAUGCUUGAUUAAAGAGUUUUUGUAAUGUUUGUUUUAGUCAUUUGCUUUUUUCCUUUCUAAUUCAGUCUUCUAACCACAGACUAUUAAGUGAUUAUCUCUUGAUACAUAUGCUUGACUUAUUGAAAUUUAAAUAUGAGCAAGAUUAUCUCAGGUUUAUUUAUUGAAUAAAUAUAAUAUUUCCAUUUAUAUCAGGCACAUUAGGAAUGUAUGGAGUUUAAUCGCUAUGUAGUUAAAAUCUUUUUACUGAUACAUUUUCCCUGCCUUCUUGAAGUCAGUAAUACAAAAUAAUAUAUGGCUUCUACCUUCAAGAACCCAAAAGAUUUGUGCUGCUGCAAACUCUGGCAUAUAUGGAUCACCGUAGUAUAAUGUCUAAAACUUUUUGGUAAAGAUACUUAGCAGGGAGAUUGCUGGGCCUAAACUGCAUGAAUUGUAAGCAUAUAUUAAUAAUUUUUAAAAAAAUUAAAACAAAAUUCAAAAGAAAUUAGUAGAAAUGAAUUGUACUACUGGAGGUAGUACAAUUUAGCUUAGUAGAAAAAUACUUGCCUAGCAUGUGUGAAGGCUGGACUUACAUCCCUAUCACCAAAUAAAACCAAGAAUUAUUUAAAAACCACUAUAUUAUGUAUUGAAAGACAUUAAAUUAUAAAUGUUUUAAAGUGUGUUUUGUGAUUUAAUUUUUGAUACAUUUUUACUUAAAGAACUUCAUAAUUGUCAAAUGAUUACAAAUUUUCCUAGAUUAAAUUCUAAUUUGGUUGGAUAAAAAGUUUUGAAUCAUACAAUUUUUUUGAAAUACUUUGAAUUUCAUUUUAAGAUCAUGCAUAUUGGCAAAUAUUCGAUAUGCUCUUAAAAAUGUGUAUUUGUCAUAAUUUUUUGUGGUAUCUACACAUUUCAAUUAGUUCAGGUUUUCUAUGCAAAUUGUUAAGAUUUUAUAUGUUUAUUGAUUUUUUGGUGUGCUUGUUCUGUUAUUGAAAAAGUAGUCUCUUACUAUGAUUGCAAACUUACAACUUUUCAAUGUUCAUUAAUUCUUUUAUCAUUGUGAAUAGUCUUUCUCACUGUUCAACCUCACUGAUUAGAUCUCCAGUAAUUGUUUUUGCCUUAAAAUAUGUUUCAUUUCUUAUUAGUCUUAUUAGACAAACUGGCUUUUAGCUAUAGAUGUCUGGUAUAUCUGUUAUAUCUUCUUCUACAAUACUUCUUAGUUUACUGUACAUUUAUAGAAAUGCUAUGAUUUUUGCUAACCUUUUUUUUCUUCUAGCUUGAGAACAUUUGUGAUUGCUGUAUAUAAUAGUCAUUGAUAUAGUCAGGCUUUGAUGUUAGUAUACUAUGUUUCUUUUCAAUUUGUGGUACAGCUAUGUUUUUUUUUCUUAAACUUCUUGUUUUCUUAUGGAUUAAUUGGAUGUUUUAAAUUCUACUUUCUUUAGUAACUUACUAAUCAGUAAUUAUUUUAUUUAUUUGUAGUGGAUACAUUGAAAUAUAAAUCUUGACUUUUUAUAGCCAAAUAUAGACUAGCACUGUUUUCUUCUCCUAAGCAAUGCUGGAAACUUAAUUCAAUUUAAUUGCAUUCACUCCCUCAUGCUUUCUGUGUUAUUAACUAUAAUUGUAUGUUAAGUAACUGGUAUACUAAGUUACGUCUCUCUUAUGCUGUAUUUAUAAGUGCAGAUGAUUAAUUAAUUUCAAGCACAAAUUUUCACAUUUAUUUUAAAACUUCAUUUUGUUGGAACUUUUGUAGUCCUGAUUCUACUUAGGUUCUUUACUUUCCCAUAGAUUAUAAUUGUACAAUAAUGAUGUCAUUUAUAACGUUUAUAUUUAAAUUUUUUAUAAUGUUUAAAUUUAAAUCUAAGUGUUCUAAACAUCUCUCUAUUGCAUAUAUUUGAGAAAAUACAGAUUUCUUUUGGACCAGAAAUGUUGUUUUAAUUUUAAAGAAAACUGAUUUGAAAGAACAAGUUUAAAGAUAGAGUCAUCAGUUGUCUUAGUUAAAAAUGCCUGAUACCCAAAAUUAAAGGAAGAAAGGCUUUGGCUCACAGUUUGUAAAGGUUCAGUCCAUAACUGGCUAGCUCCAAGGAGGGUGGCUUGACUGAGGAUCAUCACAGAGGAGAACAGUUCAUGGCCCCCCACAAGACAGCAAAAGAAACAAGGGAAAAAAUCAGGACUCUUUCUGCCCCUUACACUGUGUGUAGGCUAUGUCCACUUUGGGCAGUGUAGUAUUCACACCCUUAAUCUCAGCAUGCACACUCUAGAUUCAGCCACUCUAAACUCUUCCCCAUAACUGCAUGAGACUUUGGGAGGACAUCUGGACACAAGCCAUAGCAUCAGUCUAAACAUUUUUCCUACAUCUACUCAUCCAUUGUCAAAGCUUGAAAUUUGUCAAAGUAUUCUGAAUCGUAAAGACUUUUUCAUAGUUUAAUUGUAAUGCAUGGCUAAGAUAUUUUUUGUAGAAAAUGUAUUUGUGGGGAAAUAAAAUUCAAAUUUUUAUUCAAUGCCUCUUCCAAUUUAUGUUCACUUUUUUGGGAAUUAAAAAUAAUGCUCUUAAGUGAAGAUGUUUAUUACUUUAUGGUAGGAUUUUAGAAUCAAUUAUAUAUUAUUCCUUCAAUAACAGUGUGUAGGUAAUUUCCCCCAAACUGUGGAUGAAAGUAACUUUAUUUUCUAUUUAUUUUUCUCACAAGAUAGUAGGCUGGGAAUCUCUGCUAGGAUUGGUUUGGCAGAUCUUUGUGUCUGGGCUGGACUCACUGACCCACCUGGGCAUCAUAUGGCUAUUGGCUGAACUCCGGUAGUCUUGGCUGAGAUGACUGACACUAUUUAGCUCUGCUCCAGUGAGCUAGCUCAAACAUGUGUUCUUGCAAUCACAGAGAAGUAACAGGGCAAACUAAAACAUGCAAAUAUGUUUUCAAGCUUCUCCUGGUUUCAAAUUUGAUCAUGGACAAGGCUGAGCCAGAGUAAAGGGGGAAGGUAGAGCAUCUGCCCAACACAGAACACAGAAGAAUCAUAUGGAAUGUUCCUAUGGAUGGUAGAAAGUCUUGGCCAGUCAUCCUCUGUAGUUGCUCCACUGAUAAAUAGUAUAUAAGGAAAAAAUACCAAAGUUUUGAAUUGCAACUAUAUGUUGGGUAAACUGCAAGAAAUUAUUGAAGAUUUUAUUGAUUUCAUUUCCAAAGUGAUCUGUUUUGAAGGGAUUAUGAUUCACUGAAUGGUUUGAUUGGCCUGAUUUAAAUUGCUUUUUUAAAAGUUAGAAUGAUACACUAUUCAUGCUCAUUAAUUUUCCUUUGCUCUGAAGAUUGUGACAUUUGUUUUGAAUUACAAACUAGUCUUGAUUAGAUAAAAGAAUGAGCACAUGAUAAUCAGCUCAGUUAAUGCAUCACAUAAAUAUAUUUGGUUCAUGUAUUUUACUAGGGGCAUUGGCAGCUUAUGUUUAAUUAUUUAUAGCAAGACUUCAUAAUAUUGUAAUAAGUGCCUGACCAUAUAUUUGUAAGGAGGAAGAGCAUCUUUCCUUGGCUUUAAAUCAAAACCUUCUUCUGAAAGAACUUGUUUUGUGAGAAUGUAGUGAAAACUAUUGACCUUGCUUUCUACACAUUAGGGAUGUAUAGUAAUUAAAAACACUCCAAAUUUUCUGUAUUUAUGCUCCUAGAAAAAUGGGAGUUAGUUACAUUUCUCCUAGUCUUUGAUAUUACUGUUCUUUUAGAAGUGCCCAUUAAAAUACAAGAAGUUUUGUAUUGUCUUUUUGUAAAAUUAUGUGUAUGGAUAUAUAAAAAAAGCACUUCAAGUGGAUGAAUCAAAAAUUUUGGAAAGUAUGAUUCUGAAUAAUUUUAACUUUUUUAAAUGAUAUUUUUCAAGUCUUGAAACCUUCUGAAGUAAGCCUGUGUUGUUUUAUUUCAUUCUUUUAAAAACAUGUCAUUAAAAUUUCUGCUCAUGUUAAUCAGUGAUCAUUCCAAUGUGAUCUUGCCUUCCACCACAGGCGUAGUAUCACGUGGCAUUGACUUUGAAGUUUUAGACCUUGCUCAAUUCUUCUACCUAGUUUUUAUUUAUUUCAAACUUAUCCACAUUUCUUCUGGAUGCUCUGUCUGCUUUACAUACAUACUUUGUGUCCCAGUAGCAAUGAGUUACUCGAGUUUCUCUAAAUUUCUUUUUUUGUUUUGCUUCUUCAUGGCUUUCCUUAGGCAAAUUUCAUGUCUAAGCAUCACUGUUCUUAUCAUGGAGAACUUUUAUGCUUACUGAGAUAAUUUUUCUUUUCUGUAGCUCAUCAAAACUAUAAUUAAAUACUUGCUUAUGUAAUUAAAGUUAAAAUUAAGUGUGGUAGUUGGUUACUCCAUCUAGUUUGUGUAUGAUAAAAAGGCAGUAGUGGGUCAAUAUUAUUUACUGUUGUAUACCGAACUAUUGCCCUAGUACUUAGAAUACAGUAGUACUUGAAAUGUGUGUUCUGAGUAAAUAGAUUAAUGUGGAAUGAUGGAUAGAGAGAUGUAGUUAGCUGGUGGACAGAUGGACAGGAGGACAGAUUCAUAAAUAAUUCCAAAUAAUAAUGAGUGUUAAGAAGAAAAUUAGAUGAACCUGGGUAUGUCAUUAUCCUAUCAAGAUCCUGAUUUCAACUCUUUUGGAUAAACACCUGAAGUGAGUUUGAUAGAAGAGUUGGUCAUUCUAUAUUUAGUUUUUUGAGGAAUGUACAGUGUUUCCCAUAGUGGCCAGUCAUUGCAGUAUUACUCACAAUGUCCAAAACACAAAAAUAACUUAAGUAGCAGUUGGAUGAAUGGAUAAAGAAAAUGUGGUCCUAUGUGUGCAGUGGAAUAUAUUCAAUCUUAAAAAAGGACAUCUUGUCAUACGUGAUGACAUGAAUGGACUUUGAGGACAUUACGUUGAUUAAAAUAAGUGAGUCAGAAAAAGACAAAUAUUGCAUGGUUCCAAGAAUAUGUAAGGUAUAGGAAAUUAGUCAAGCUCUUGAAGUGGGAAGGAGAAUGUGAUUGCCAGAGAUUGGGGAACAGGGGUAGGAAAAGCAGGAAUGAAAAAUUACUGUCUGUGUAGGAAGUUUCGGUCAUGCAAGAUGAAAAAAUUGUAGAGACCUGUUAUACAAUAGUGUUCAUAUGGGGAUUCAUUAAAAAAUAUUGUGUAUUUAAAUAAAAGGAUCAUAUAGUAGCGAGCACUUUGCACCUCAGAAUACUCCCCUUCCCUUUGAACACUCAUCUCAUCAUUCCUCAUGCCUUCUGAAGCAAUCAUGUAAGGACUCCUCAGUGUUCGUAGUUGCACCGAGGAAGCUCCCUAAAUCCCCUGAAUAAAUUCAAAGUGUUUACCUUUCAUGGUCAUUUUGACUUUGGAGAAGAACCAGAAGUCACAUAUCCAGAAAAUAAAGUGGAUGAGGCAGUGUAAUGUUUUUAUUAACCUGCCUUUCUUUGGGAUGGCACUUGACAGCAACAUUAAUUGCAUUUUUUAAAAAAUCAUGUCUUAUAAAGAUACUCACGAAAAAAAGAUUUCAGGAACUGCUUUAGAAAUGGGCAAACAUGAUGGAGUGAGUUUGAGGGAGUAUUUUGAGGGGAACUCAUGGCAUUGGAUCAUUUUGUGUAAUAAAAAUUUUAGUGCAAACAUUCAUUGUAUUUUCCAAUCACCUCUUCUGUAGUGAACAAUAAUGCUUCACUGUACUGUUGAAAAUUUGUUAAGAGAGUAGGUUUCUUGUGAUUGCUCUUUGCAUUCACAAACAAUGGAGUGAACUGAAAGUGACUAGUUGGAUUGAGUAUGAAUGAUGGGCAGGCAAAAGUUUUUUGUUUUUUGUUUUUUUUUUAAAAAGACACCUGAAUGGGAGGACCCAGCUAAGAAUAGGUCAGAUGUUCAAACUAAAGAAGACCUAUAGCAAUAUGACAGGAGUAACAGAAAUGCAUGUUUAAUUGUUCUUAUUAAAUAACAGGAAACAUUAACUUUAACACUGUGUUUAGGGAAUCGCAUAUUUCCAAAACAGUAUUUCACCAUAUAAUAAAAUUGUCACAUUGUCAGUGGUAUAUUUUAUAUUAUAUUUCAUGAAAACUCAUUCAAAUCUAGAGAUUUUUGGAUACUUACAGCACAUUUCUACCUAGAGUAAAAACGUUUAAGUAUUUAUUAAUCACGUGGGUAUUGGCUGUUAUACUGGGCAGCCCAAAAUAGAAAAGGCAGCAGGAGAAACAGUGAGACAAACUUAGAGUGCUGAGAGAAGGCAAUGGUCAGGAGUCAGCUGGACAGGAGGGAGAGGUCGUCAUGAAUUUGGAGAGACAGAGGCAACUCUUCUCUUCCACUUAGCACACAACAAAACAUAUUGUGCACAGAGCACUGCUAAAUUUUCUCCCCAAGGUCAUCUUGGGGAGUUAUCUUUAUCUCAAAGUGUUUCCUACUUUAGAAAAUAAAGCAGGUGACACUGAUAUUUGAUAAACAAAUGCAGAGAAGAAAUGAAUACGGGGGGUAGGGCUUGUUAAGCAGAAAGAAUUUUUUUAUUUGCAUUUCUCCACUUAAAAGCCUUUAAACCUUAGACUCUGCUACACACCUAGGUUUCCUUCAGCACAUCUAUUCAUGCCAGGUUUUGCAGACUCUUUCCACAUGUAUCAUCCUUGUUAGCAAAAUAAUUGCGAGUUUGAAGUAAACAUUUAUUGAACAGCCUUGAGUAAUUAUCCUGUGAGGUAUGUUUCUGAAUUAUCAUCUGUGUUGAAGCAAUGUUUUAUGAAAUAAUUGGCAGUUGGUAUAAUGCCUCACUGAAACAACUGCUUGUUUAGUGCAAUAUUUUCACCCAAAUUGUUUAUGUUGUACAGUUUUUAUUUGUCCAGAAUCUUCUUUAGUGCAAUAUUUCUUUAAAUGUUUUCUCUUCUGCAUAAUGGGAAGAUGAGCUGUUGUAACUUUUAAUUACUGUAUGCAGCUGCACACUUUAUAUUUGUAAGCACAUGAGUUGACCUUAAUUUUUUGGCAUAACUAUAGCUUGAGGCAAGCAACGAUGGGUUUGAUGUUAAUACAGCUUUUGUGUUGUUAAUUAAAUGUCCAUUUCUGUUUUAGUUUUAUGAACAUUAAAAAUAUAGAAGCAAAGUCUAUUUCUUUCUCUUGGGCUGCAGUCUAAAUAUUCUGGAAACCCAGAGCUUAGGAUGUGAGAUCAAUAUUUAUGAAGGAAACUAGGACAGUAUGGGACAGGACAGAAAGAAGGAUAUGAACUGGGACAGACCAGUAAUGGUUUGGUUAACUUGUGGGGAGGCUCACGGGAACGUGUUGACUGUCAGUCCUCUUCCACUUCAAGUGAAAUGGUGGGUCCUCACACCGCCACCCCACUUACUUGCUAGAUGGCAGGCUGCUCUCAGAAAGGCGUGACCUUGGGCCAGGAGGUGCAGCUGUUCUGAUCUUGCAGAGACAGCUGGAGCCUGCUGCUGUCUGUGUUCACCGCAGCAGCUGGUCCCUCUGGCUCUUUCCUUACAGUUGAUCUGGAUGGUGCAGCUCUGUGUGUAGCAUGUGCUGUUAAAUCAGCACUGGUGCCCUGGCAUCCAACUUUCUCUUUAGUUAAGAUAUUGCAGACUUGCAUUUAAUUUAGCUCAAAGAGUAAUGCCUUACUUUACUUUUAUGCUUGUACACAUUCAUAUAACAUUGCAAUAACAUUUUAUACGGGUUAAUAGGCAGUCAAUGAGAAUUUCUUUUGAAAGAGCUUUUUGUGUUAUUUAAGUGUAAGCAACUCUGAUUUAUUUUUAUGCCAAAGUGAUACAUAAGCUUGGUUUAAAAAAAUUACAAAAAUACAUAAAGCAAAACACAAAUAUUCCUUUAAUCAAUUCCUGCUUGGUGGAAGAACUAGUAAGAGUUUGGCCUAUUAUUCUUCUUGAGGCUUUUAUUUAAAUAUGCAUAUAUAAGGUUACAUAUAGCUAUACAUUUUAAUUUCAAAAAAAAGUUACUGUACUUAUUCUUUCACUGUUUAUUUUGAAAACCAAAAUGUCUCCUUGAAAUGUUACACAUGCACCUACCUAAUUUUUAACUUUUUAAUACAUAGUAGAUGUUGAUUUUUCAAUAUUUUAUUAUUAUUUGCAAAGUGGCAAAAUACACUCUUUACAAAUUUUUAAAUAAACGUAAAACUAUUGACCGCUUACUCAACAUUAUUUACAGUAAAGUAAGCAAUAUACUGUAGGAUAACUUUCUAACUACUAUAAAGUUGUGUUCCUGGUUUCUGCCGAAAAUAUUAACCUGAAUAAUGAAAAGAUUGGGCCUACAUGUAAGGAGCGAGUUGGGGUCAAGAUAAAAAUAUAGGUCAAUAAUUUAGAUUAAAAGUUUGCUCACUCAAUUAUUCUAGCAGAUCAUAAAUUGUGAACAUGUUUAGCCACUCAGUAAGUUAUCAUGAGCCAAGUCUUCAGACAUCCACAGAUCCUAACUUUUGAUUGCAGAUUUCAACUUGUUGCAAAGCAACAGGUCAUGAGGAAUAGUUAAUAUUCACUUAACCAGUCUUCCUUAGCUAAUUCAAAGAAAGGUUUUGAUUUGUUAUCUUAUUUGGGUGGGGAAUUUGUUGGUGGAGAUAAAAAUUUUUCUUUUCAGGAAUAUUAUAAGUAAACUGCUGCAUUUUUGUGAUUAAAAAUAUAGAUAUGGAUUCUGAUAUGGUUGCUUUGAAAACAUCCACUUUACAAAUGUUUUUGUACAAGUGCCAAGGUAUUACUAUAAGAUUGUUUUCUAGAGAUGCAUUUUUGGAGACUGAAGGAUACACUUAAAAUAUUGUGAAAGUUAUCACUGUGUUGUCUUUCAAAAUAUUUGCAGUAAUUUCGAUGACUAUCAACAAUCCAUGAAGCAGUUUCCCAACAUUAUUGCUUUCUUUAGAUUUGUCUGAUUUUCAAUCUUUUCUCCAACUAAAAUAUUUUUAAAAAUUGUGUUCUAUGUCUUUUGUACUCAUUUUAAUGGUCUUGUCUUUCUCCUCAUAAUGUGAACUAAUUCUCAGUAAUGUAAAAAUAUCAGUAUUAUUGUGCAUAACUAUCUAUUGGAGUUGAAUUGAACUUCAGAGUAACUUGGAUCAGUUAGGAGUUUUUAUUUUCAACAAGCAACAGAAAUAUACUCUGUUAAGAGUAAAAGAAACUAUUUGGAAGAAUGUUGAGUAGUGCACAGAAGAUGGAUGGCAUCUGCGGUUUUGAAAAGCCUAGUUCAAGGGAUGGAGUUUUGCUCCCUCAAAAAUCACAGAAACUCAUACCUAGAGCCUCAGAGUGUGACUUUACUUGGAAAUAGUAUAAUUGUGGAAUAAUUAGUUCAAUUAACCAGAAGCCAUCCUGGAAUAUGACAGGUGUCCUUAUAAAAGACUGCCACUUAAAGGGACACACACAGGAAAAAACACUGCAUGGCAUUAAAGCAGAGGCUGAGCUGUUGCAUGCAUGCACCAAGGAAAGUCAAGUUUUGCUAGCAACCGCCAGGAGUGAGAAGAGAACCCCACAGAGGUUCUGUAGAAGUACCUUGAACUUGACCUUGAAUUUCCAGAACCAUGAGAUCAUGCUUUUAUUUUUUUGAAUUUAAGCCGCCGAGUUUGUGAUGUUUUUGUUAUGAAAGUUCUAGCAACCUAAUAUAGCUAGGUUUCAUAAUGACUUCCAAAGUCAGGAGAGCCAGGAGUAUUUAUUUGACAGUCUCCUCCUAUAAUUGUUAAGGUAACAAAUAGAUCUCAGGUUUUUGUUACUUAUUUUCUCUUGUCCUUUAAAGGUGUUUUUCUAGAUUCAGAUUUCCUGGAAAUGCAGUUCAUGAGCUUAGCUUGGAUCCAACCAGUUCAAAAAAAGUAUAAAACUCUGAUAUACAAUCCUAUCAAAACUGUACCAUGUAAUAGAGGAAAUUCUCUUAAUAAGUUUGGUUUAUUGCAGAAGAAGCUAAUUGAGUAAGAUACUGGGAGAAUGUGUGGGGGUGGAGAGUAGAAAGAAAUACAGGUAUUUGCUUCAUUAAAGUAGUUAAUACAUAUUAACUACUUUAUAUAUUAAUUGAUAUAUAAAGUAGUAGUAAUUAAUAUUUAAUUAAUUAACCACUUUAUAAUUAAUAUAUUAAUUGCUUCAUUAAAGUAGUUUAAAUAUAUAUUUCAAACAUGGAAGAGCCAUAUAGUAACAUAUUGAUGUGGCUUAUUUAUCUCCAGGAAAAAUUCAGUACUUGGGAAUGCUUAAUGAAAUGAAAAUGAUGAGGAUGGUGAUAGUCAUGGAUUAUGUCAGUGGCCCCCAAGCCUCACACAAUUAUGGAUGUGAUCAAAUUUAGCAUAUAUGAUUGGUUCGUUGUCUAGUGCUUGGAUUGGUGGUGUGAGUGCUACACCUGCUUAAGGGCGGAGCCAAGAAAUGAUGUAAUGGUGGGAAGAGGGUGUGUCUUUCUCUUUGUUUUUGCUUUUGCUGUUUGCAGCAGCUAUAAAGGACUUCCUUGCCAUGUCAUGCUGCCUUGGAGCCAACUGAGUAUGGAUUGAAACCCCCAAGAACUGUAGGAAAUAAACCUUUUUUCCCCUAAUUUUGGGCUUCAGGUAUUUUGUCUCAACAACCAGUAAAAAGUAACCAAGACAGUGAUGAUGAUGAUUAUGUUGUUGUUGAUGAUGAUGGAUAAAAUAGGAAUUAUUGAGUUGUUUCUGUGUGUCAGAUUUCUUUAAUAGUACUGGGUAUGGAACCUAGGGCUCCUGCACUAAGCUAUACUGAGCUAAGCAGACUAUAAUUCUUUUUUUUUCAAAUUGAUAAAGAUUCUUGCUAAGUCACUAAAUUGCCUAAGCUAAGCUUGAAUAUGAAAUCCUCUUGCCUCAGCUUUAUAGAGUGCUGAGAUUACAGCUGUGGGCCAUUUCACACACCUUAAAUUAUUAUUUUAGGUGCUUUCCAUGAAUUAAUAUACUUCACCUUCUGAAUCUUAUGAAAUAGGUUUUAUUAUUAGCUUCACUUACAGUUGAAAAAAUGAGUUGCAUGGAGAGAUAUUAAUUUUUUGUCCCCAAAAUGCAAUUAAUGAAUUGCAGAACUGAGCUUCCAAUUCAAGAAUUCUGCUUUUAAAAUCCAUGUUGUAUAUGUCCUAUUUGCUGAAUAAGCAGAGAAUCUGGCUGAUUCAGGAUUUAACAAGGAAUAUUUUAUCCCAGUUAUCACCUAAAAUAUAUCCCUAGUGCUUUGGGGCUUCUUGUAAUUGAAUUGUUUAGUGACACAUUGUCCUAUAAUUGUACAAUUAGGCCAAUUCUUCCAAGAAUCAGUAACUUUUUUUUUCUUAUUGACACUUGCUUGCUUUUGUUAGUUGAAGUUGAGUGGUUUAUUGGAUUGUAAUUUUAGAAUGGUAAAACACCUCCUCUUUUGAAGUAUGAAAGAGAUGGUAUAACUUUCACUCCAUAGCUAACUGGUUAUUUCUAGGUACCUAAAAUAUUGUGACAAAUCAAUAAAGACUUUGUUACAAACCUCCAAAGCAGGAUUACUCCCUAUUCUUUAUAUUUUCCAAGACUCUUUACUUCUCUGAAAACUGAUGCUGUUUUCCUACAAUGCAGCUUAACAGUUUAUGCUCCAUUUAUUUAGAUGUCUUGUUAGAUCAUGCAUGAUAAUAAUUUUAAAGUGUUUUGUAAGAUGUGAACAUUUUAACGCGUCAAUCUAAAAAUAUUAGCAACUUCUCUUAUCAUAUAUGAUUGGUAAUUUUAUUUAUUCAUUCAGUCAACCAGUCAUUUCAUUUUUACUGUCUACCAACCAGGUCCACAGAAAAAGUGCAAUGAGAAAUAGUACUUGCUCAUGCUAUCCAGGAUCAUAAACCCUGGAAAGCCAGGAUACUGUGAUGAAUGCAUGAAUGGGCUAAAAUUGGACUAUCUCAAUAGAAGGCAUACUGACAUUUGAGACAGAUCAUUCUUGUUCAGAGAGCUGCACUGGGCACUGAAGGAUAUUUAGCAUUGUUUCUGAGCUCUACCCAUUAGAUGCUAGUAUCAUCUUUUGUCAUAUUGUGACAACUAAAUGGCCUUACCAAAUGACAUUAUCAAAUAUCCUAUGCGAGGAGUAAAAUUGUACCCAGUGCAGAACCAAUGGAUUAGCAAGCUUCCAGAAAGACACUAUAUAUAAAUUUAGACCUGUGAUAGUUGAGAUGGAUUGUGUCACCUUGAUUGACUUGGCAGUCACCAAAGUGACCGAUGGAGCACAGUUCUGGGUGUACCUUGAUAAGUCAUGGAGGCAUGAUUUUGGGCAUUAUAUCUGAUCCUUUCCUUUUUUCUUUCUGGAACUCUGCUUUGUGCUGCCAUGAACUAAGCAGCUUUGCUCUGCCAUAACUGUCUGCCAUGAUACUCUUGCCUUGAGGUUAGUAGACCGAUGAGCCAAAAUUCAUUUGUAUGUGUGUGGGGUAUGGAGUUCCAGUGACAGGAAAACUAGUAUUGACCUGCUUGAUGAAUAGCAAUUGGUCAGUUAAAGGCAACAGGAAAGAGAAGAACAUAUGCAUGAAUCUCAGAAAUUCAAAAUAUUAGGAAUUAUCUCGAUUUUCUUUUGUGUCUGAGAGCUAGUGAUUCUGAUCGACCUUUAAAAUGUUCUGUUGUGUUUCAAUAUUUGCCUAGCACUUUAGUACUAAAUAGGAACAAUCUUUGUUUUUCUCAAAGGGAAAUGGAAUCAUGUGAGCUUGAGAAAAAAAUUUUGCUUAAAUGGUUAUGCUUUGACCUGUGCUGUUUUGUUGUUAUGCCCUCUUUUAUCUCAAUCUCCUUUUUUUUUUAAAAUUAUUUACUUUUUUAUUUUUAUCUUUUUAAUUAAGGGAAAAAUAAAAAAUAGUAGGAUACAUUAGAGUAACCCACUUUGAUUUCCUAUUAACUUGAUUUGAAACCCUGUAGUGCCCAAACCAUCUUGUUUUGACUGAUUUUCCUUUAUUCUGCUUUGCUUGAUAAUACCAAGUUCGAAAGUAUAGGCAACAACUGUGAAGACAGUAAGAUUCAUUAUGUCACCUCUUCUGGUUGACUAUAUCUUCUUUUAAAGUCCUGUAAUGUCUCCAAUGUUUUGGUUUUAUUCUUUACUGUUUUGUUCAAUUUUAUUAUAACUGAUGAUAUAGGCAAUUCUUUUUAAGAUAGCAAGAGGCAUAUGGUAACCAUUGUUGAUCACCUAGUAUUUUGUUUUUACAUUAUCUAUUAUGUCUAUCCUUUUGAUUUGACUGACUCUGUUCUGUUAUGUCACAUUUUGUUUUACUCUCUUCAAAAAAAAAAGUAACAAGAACUGUGGGAGUGAUAAAACCCAAAAUGCGUAAUUGUCAUUGUACAAAAGAGAGGAAAAGAAAGUGCUCUAAAGGAUAUAACUGCAUGUAUAUUUAAGUGUAUAAGAUAGAUAACCAUAUUACUGAGUUUUGUUGGAUCAUUGAACAAAACUGUUUGCAGUCUCACUGUUUGAAAGUCCACUUUAUAUGCUUUAAUUUUGUAACUUGAACAACUAUUUCUAAGAUAACAAUAUGUAAUCUAUUAACUAGUGAUUCCCUACUGUUUAUUCUUUCUUGAAAUUCUGUAUAACU
Molecule: long non-coding RNA, 22432 nt
Organism: Cavia porcellus (domestic guinea pig)
Lineage: Eukaryota; Metazoa; Chordata; Mammalia; Rodentia; Caviidae
Exons: 5
Source: RefSeq, a predicted model, not a curated record